Long non-coding RNA from Gordionus sp. m RMFG-2023, 512 nucleotides. RefSeq lists it as uncharacterized. The transcript has 3 exons. The record is from RefSeq and is a predicted model, not a curated record. NCBI's taxonomy places the organism in Eukaryota, Metazoa, Nematomorpha, Gordioida, Chordodea, Parachordodidae.
AUAUUCGAGACAGCGGACCCAAAUCGUAAAUUCAAUUUCACCUUUUCGUAAAGCGACAAAACGUAUAAAGUUAAUAAUAAUUCGAGACUACGGGACGAUCAAUGCAUAAUAUGUCAUUGGGGACGAUACGAUUUUGACAAUGAUAUAUAUCAUUGGAUUUUGAACUUGGCAAUUUCGUGUGAAACUUUCAAAAGUGGGCAAGCCCCUUCAAUAAUAUGGAAAGCCAAUUCUAAGCCCAAGAAAAUCAUGGAUAGGCUUAUGUUCUGCAAGUUAAAUGUAUUUGGAGAAUACGAAGUAUAUUUCCUUUUGUAUACUAGGAUAUCCAACAAGAAGUUAACCUUAAUUGUUUUUGUUUGAUGAAUUGAAAAAUUACAACAUUCAUGUCAAAAGUAAUAAAUGGCCUAAUUCGUUUUCCAUGUUAUGCAUUGGAUAAACAUAAAAUCAUAUUUAAAAUUAUCGAAAGUAGGACAGUUUAUAUUCAAUAUAAUUGCAUAAGAAUUAUUUGAAAAAAU